UGGGGAAUUUUGGACAAUGGGCGCAAGCCUGAUCCAGCAAUGCCGCGUGCAGGAUGAAGGCCUUCGGGUUGUAAACUGCUUUUGUACGGAACGAAAAGCCUCUCUCUAAUACAGGGGGGUGAUGACGGUACCGUAAGAAUAAGCACCGGCUAACUACGUGCCAGCAGCCGCGGUAAUACGUAGGGUGCAAGCGUUAAUCGGAAUUACUGGGCGUAAAGCGUGCGCAGGCGGUUUUGUAAGACAGUGGUGAAAUCCCCGGGCUCAACCUGGGAACUGCCAUUGUGACUGCAAGGCUGGAGUGCGGCAGAGGGGGAUGGAAUUCCGCGUGUAGCAGUGAAAUGCGUAGAUAUGCGGAGGAACACCGAUGGCGAAGGCAAUCCUCUGGGCCUGCACUGACGCUCAUGCACGAAAGCGUGGGGAGCAAACAGAUUAGAUACCCUGGUAGUCCNCGCCCUAAACGAUGUCAACUGGUUGUUGGGGAUUUAUUUCUUCAGUAACGAAGCUAA
Molecule: ribosomal RNA, 506 nt
Filed under: uncultured bacterium
Lineage: Bacteria
Description: partial 16S ribosomal RNA
Rfam family: Bacterial small subunit ribosomal RNA
Source: RNAcentral